CACUAGGGAAUUCCAUUCUUCCUGCCAAUACACACCAAAAACGACAUAUCGUCACGCAAUUCUUGGCAGCAGGGGUCUGUUGAGAGCUAUGACAAAAGAGAAGGCCACUGCCAUUUGACAUCCAGUGUUCUACUACAACUUGAAGUUUUAUCAAUGGUAAAACCUUAUUGGGCAUUGAUCAUGCAAGCAGUAAUUUUUGUGUGUAUAUAUAUAUGCAGAGGAUGUAAGUAUGUAGGGGAUUUUCAGUUAUUGAUUGAUUAAUGGGUUUAGGUAGCUAGGGCUCUUACGAUAUGAGUUGACCUAGCAACUGGAUUGGUGCUAUCCUCUUCUCUUUGGCCCUUGGAACUUGUCUAGCUAAAUAAAACCAAUUGUCUCUAGAGAUAGGUCAUUCUUCUGUACCGAACAAGGGCCAUGCUUGGUAUUGCUGUGACAACUCAUCCAUCGCGUGCUAACCAAUGACAUAGAUGAUGAUGGGUAAUCAAGGAAGAUAAUGAUGUAAUUUCUUAUCAGAUCAGACCCAUUUUAACUUAAAGUUACCACGUAUGAGUUGGAUUGGUAGAACAAAAAGAUGAGAGGAUGAAGGCAUCGAUCAGAAGCUGUGUAUAACGUAUUUGCAAACCGUUGAUUGAGGUCAUAUGGGCUGUCCACUUUGCCUUUGAAUCUGUACUAAAAAGGUAGACCACAUAUCAACACCAUAGAAAACUAAGAAAUAAUAAUUUCUUGGGUAGAUAAUUCUCUUAUGCUCAGAACCUUGA
Molecule: non-coding RNA, 755 nt
Organism: Sesamum indicum (sesame)
Lineage: Eukaryota; Viridiplantae; Streptophyta; Magnoliopsida; Lamiales; Pedaliaceae
Source: RefSeq, a predicted model, not a curated record